UACGGAGGGAGCAAGCGUUACUCGGAAUUAUUGGGCGUAAAGGGCGCGUAGGCGAUUUGACAAGUCUUGUGUGAAAGCCCCGAGCUUAACUCGGGAAGUGCACAAGAAACUGUUGAAUUUGAGUUCCGGAGAGGAAGGCAGAAUUCCCGGUGUAGCGGUGAAAUGCGUAGAUAUCGGGAGGAAUACCAGUGGCGAAGGCGGCCUUCUGGACGGAUACUGACGCUGAGGCGCGAAAGCCAGGGGAGCAAACGGG
RNAcentral lists this ribosomal RNA (253 nucleotides) under uncultured bacterium. Its description in RNAcentral is "partial 16S ribosomal RNA". It matches the Rfam family "Bacterial small subunit ribosomal RNA", at positions 524 to 776 of the family's 1533-position model. The record is from RNAcentral.